Molecule: long non-coding RNA, 667 nt
Filed under: Salmo salar (Atlantic salmon)
Lineage: Eukaryota; Metazoa; Chordata; Actinopteri; Salmoniformes; Salmonidae
Description: lncRNA (ENSSSAG00000087629.1, ENSSSAG00000094134.1, ENSSSAG00020077230.1)
Source: RNAcentral
CCUUUGGAGAAGAGACAGAAAGCUAUUGCAUCAUCGAGACACUUAGUAGAAUAAAUGUGUCAAUAGUCUGAGUAAGUCUGUGGGUCCCCACUUCAGAUAAGUACAGAUGUGAUGUCAAGAAGAAUAAUUGUCAGACAGAAAAGUGUGUCCAUUGCAUAGUUUAUCAUAUAAAACACGCACACCCCUCUCUCUCCCUCUCUCCUUCCAGGUCAGACUAAGGUCAGGGUCAGACCAGAGGUGGCAGCAGUCUGACCUCAUAGAGAGCCAAACAGAUCCUCAGUCCCUGUCUCCCAUGAUGCCCUUUCUAAUCCACCACUCUUUGGCCAAUGACCGUAUUAAGAAGACACUUGAUCUUCCCAUUAUCAACAUUUAAAUCCCUCGUCCAACUCAUGCCAAAUCACAAAUACUGUUAUUAUUCCAAAGACUUGCUCUCUGAGAUUCCACAGUGUGCAGAUAGUGACAAUGGAUAGGACACAUAUGACAUAACAGGUUUCAGCAACUCUCUGUCCUAUACCUUGCUGUUGCAGGGAGAGGACUGGCUGACACUGAUGCCUCCCCUCAGAAGACACCAGACCAGAUGAGAAGUUCACCCACACACUGUGAAUUGGAAAAUGUUCCAAAGGUCACAAGCAGAGAGACAGGCAGUUGUUCCAUCCAGAGAACUAAC